Bactrocera dorsalis (oriental fruit fly) is the source of this 1826-nucleotide long non-coding RNA. RefSeq lists it as uncharacterized. The record is from RefSeq and is a predicted model, not a curated record. NCBI's taxonomy places the organism in Eukaryota, Metazoa, Arthropoda, Insecta, Diptera, Tephritidae. The transcript has 2 exons.
UAACAUACAUUUACAUAUAUAUUUAUAAUUGUUAUCAAAUAUGUACUGUCAACACUAUGUGAAUAUCAAGUAGUAAUUGCACAUUUAAGUAUUAUUUUUGCAACGCUAUUCGACUACAAAUGAAUUGAGAAUACGUUUGCGGCCCGUGAUUGACUUUGUACCUAAAACAAACAAAAAAAGCGAUAAACGCUAUAAAAAUAUUUAUAUUUCAAUCACUUGUCUGAUUGAAGUGUAAAACAUGUCUUUAUUAAUGAAAAUAUAGUAUGUAUAAAUGUAUCGGAUUGUUAGACGAAAAGGCAUGGACGAGGACAACGGCUGAUAAGUCGACGUUAUGAUUUUUUGAGAGCAAAGUACUGCGGAAGAGUUAUGGUCCUUUGGCUACGGCGAGUAUCGCAGUCGAUAGAAGGAUGGGCUGUACAAGAUAUUUGAUGAGAUGUCUGCAUGAAAUAUGACAUGGAUUAUCUGGCAAGGGUUAUUUUCAAACAUAUGUUUUAGUUCAGACCACUUUUGCUUAUAGCUGUCACGUAAACUGACUGAUCCAAAUCACGAUAAAGGCCUUUUAGUACCCUAUAUAUUAUAUAUAAACUAUAUUUUCAGAGUAUCACCUGUCAAUAGUAUUACAGUUGCUGCGAUGCAGACGAAGUUAACGUGUUUUCUUGUUCAUUAGUCAAUUGAAGUAUCACUUGAAAAACCAUUUCAUACCACUUUCUAGCUCAGACUUCAAUUAGUUAUCAACAUUGCUGCACUAAGUAAGCGUAGCACGCUCGUUACUUGUCAUUAUUAAUAAAGCCACAGAAGUAAAAUUAGAAACGCAACAUUAAUCAUGAUUUGGAGCAAUUUUAUCUUACCACUGUACGAGUACUACUAUACUGAUUAAAAUUCUUCACUGCAAUACGCCAUAACGAAGAACGGAAAGCAGCGCUCAAGCUGUAUUCUCUUAGCAAGCCAUUUGCUUUAGUUAGUAAUAAAAACGUGUUGGAAAAGUGAAUGCGCUUAAUGCUGCGAAAUAAACAAACAGUUUGCUCUGCUUGUUAAGGCAAGGUGCAACCUUUAACGCCUGCUGCGGCUGAGACAAGCACAUCCGACGGACAGGUAACACUUGCAGCAUAAUACAAACACGCAGAAAGCAGCGCAAGCCACCAAGGUAAUGCAAUAGCUUCAAGUUCGUCCUUACCGUUUGCUGCUGAAAUUUCUUUUAGUUCUUCAUUAUAUCCUUCUAAGCUAAGCAAAUACAAUUGUUUUCAGUCUUACUUACACCCUCAAUCCCCACCGUGGCCGAGAAAGUUGCAACCAGCUAUUUCAGUAUGCGUGGCAUCUUAAUUUUGCCACCGGAAGUGCAACCCGAAAAUGUACUUGUAUCUAAAAACUUCUGCAGCGAUGCGGCGACGUCUGUGUGAGUGCACCUGGGUUCGGGCCACCGCCGUUGCUGAGUGGCUAUUGCGUUAGGUGCAACCAUUAUAGCAGGCAACAAGAUUGAUUAUGCCCCAAAGUUGCUUUCAACAUAUCAGCCCUUCAGCCGAAGAAAACGUAUCUGCAACUAAAAAAGUAGUAGUAAAAAGUAGCAGAAACGCAAUAUAUGCGCUAAAGAGCGGGACAGAAGUACGCAAAGGAAAGUGGAAUACAUGCAGGUACAAGAAAUAUUUUCACACAAUAGACACAUGCUUGCAUGAAGAAAAAAUUCAGAGAAAACGGAAAUUAAAAAUCGCGUUGGAUGUGAAGUAGCUUUUUUGCUUCUUUGUUGUAGAAUUAAGGAUAAGUAAAAAAGUAAGUAAGUGAAAAUAAAUGUAAAAUGUAUAUCUUUAAAUAAAAUAUAAAAAAUAGCUGUA